AGAGUUUGAUCAUGGCUCAGGACGAACGCUGGCGGCGUGCUUAAUACAUGCAAGUCAUAGGGGCUAAUUUCCUUCGGGAGAUUGGUCACUGGCGCACGGGUGCGUAACGCGUAAGUUAUCUGCCCUUGGGUCUGGCAUAACGUCGGGAAACCGGCGCUAAUUCCAGAUGAUAUCGUAAGAUCAAAGCCUUCGGGCGCCCAAGGAUGAGCUUGCGUCUGAUUAGCUUGUUGGCGGGGUAAUGGCCCACCAAGGCAACGAUCAGUAGCCGGUCUGAGAGGAUGAUCGGCCACAUUGGGACUGAGACACGGCCCAGACUCCUACGGGAGGCAGCAGUAAGGAAUAUUGCGCAAUGGACGAAAGUCUGACGCAGCAACGCCGCGUGCAGGAUGAAGGCCCUUUGGGUUGUAAACUGCUGUAGAAAGGGAAUAAUAGUUUGCCACGGGUGAACUUGAAGGUACCUUUAAAGUAAGCGCCGGCUAACUACGUGCCAGCAGCCGCGGUAAUACGUAGGGCGCAAGCGUUGUCCGGAUUCACUGGGUGUAAAGGGUGCGCAGGCGGAUUGGCAAGUCAGAGGUGAAAUCUCACGGCUCAACCGUGAAACUGCCUUUGAUACUGCUUAUCUUGAGUUCGGGAGAGGUUGAUGGAAUUCCAGGUGUAGCGGUGAAAUGCGUAGAUAUCUGGAAGAACACCAGUGGCGAAGGCGGUCAACUGGCCCGCAACUGACGCUCAUGCACGAAAGCGUGGGGAUCAAACAGGAUUAGAUACCCUGGUAGU
RNAcentral lists this ribosomal RNA (774 nucleotides) under uncultured bacterium. RNAcentral's name for it is "bacterial SSU rRNA". It matches the Rfam family "Bacterial small subunit ribosomal RNA", at positions 8 to 794 of the family's 1533-position model. The record is from RNAcentral.